This 135-nucleotide ribosomal RNA is filed under the name uncultured bacterium. Its description in RNAcentral is "partial 16S rRNA". It matches the Rfam family "Bacterial small subunit ribosomal RNA", at positions 355 to 507 of the family's 1533-position model. The record is from RNAcentral.
UCGGGAAUUUUGGGCAAUGGGCGAAAGCCUGACCCAGCAACGCCGCGUGAGGGAUGAAGGCCUUCGGGUCGUAAACCUCUUUUCUCAGGGACGAUGAUGACGGUACCUGAGGAAUAAGCCACGGCUAACUACGUG